RNAcentral lists this ribosomal RNA (253 nucleotides) under uncultured bacterium. Its description in RNAcentral is "partial 16S ribosomal RNA". It matches the Rfam family "Bacterial small subunit ribosomal RNA", at positions 524 to 776 of the family's 1533-position model. The record is from RNAcentral.
UACGGAGGGUGCAAGGGUUAUCCGGAUUCACUGGGUUUAAAGGGUGCGUAGGUGGCUUUGUAAGUCCGUGGUGAAAUCUCGGAGCUUAACUCCGAAACUGCCAUUGAUACUGCUUAGCUUGAAUCAGGUAGAGGUGGAUGGAAUAUUACAUGUAGCGGUGAAAUGCUUAGAUAUGUAAUAGAACACCGAUUGCGAAGGCAGUUCACUAUGCCUGCAUUGACACUGAGGCACGAAAGCGUGGGGAUCAAACAGG